AUGAAAAGUAUCGAAAGAAGUGGAAGCUGUGAAUGGAAAAGAAAGAUGAAAAAGAAGAAGGAGAAGGGAGUGUUGUUAGAAGGCUUCGUCAGUGAAGAUCUUCCAAGGACGAAAAGCUUAACCGACAAGGAUCUUGACGAGUUGAAAGGAUGUUUAGAUCUAGGAUUCGGAUUCAGUUACGAUGAGAUUCCAGAACUAUGCAACACUCUCCCAGCAUUGGAGUUAUGCUAUUCAAUGUCGGAUUCUUCUCCGUCGUUUGCGAAUUGGAAGAUCUCGAGUCCAGGUACUAAUGAAUAG
This is a non-coding RNA of Vicia faba (fava bean), 297 nucleotides long. The record is from the annotation of a GenBank genome assembly. Lineage: Eukaryota; Viridiplantae; Streptophyta; Magnoliopsida; Fabales; Fabaceae.